This 323-nucleotide small nuclear RNA is filed under the name Rattus norvegicus (Norway rat). Its description in RNAcentral is "7SK RNA". It matches the Rfam family "7SK RNA". From Rfam's summary of the family: 7SK was discovered as an abundant small nuclear RNA in the mid-70s but a possible function has only recently been suggested. Two independent studies have found that 7SK RNA binds the CDK9/cyclin T complex (known as elongation factor P-TEFb). Lineage: Eukaryota; Metazoa; Chordata; Mammalia; Rodentia; Muridae. The record is from Rfam by way of RNAcentral.
GGAUGUGAGGGCGAUCUGGCUGCGACAUCUGUCACCCCAUUGAUCGCCAGGGUUGAUUCGGCUGAUCUGGCUGGCUAGGCGGGUGUCCCCUUCCUCCCUCACCGCUCCAUGUGCGUCCCUCCCGAAGCUGCGCGCUCGGUCGAAGAGGACGACCUUCCCCGAAUAGAGGAGGACCGGUCUUCGGUCAAGGGUAUACGAGUAGCUGCGCUCCCCUGCUAAAAAGUAAAAAAGGGAUUUUUCUGGUGGAUUUGACUUAAUGUAUCAUCUUUAUUAAGUAGAAUAAAAGCAGGGCUGUCAAGAAGACUCAGAGAGUAAAGGCUCUU